AUUGAACGCUAGCGGGAUGCUUUACACAUGCCAGUCGAACGGCAGCGCGGACUUCGGUCUGGCGGCGAGUGGCGAACGGGUGAGUAAUGUAUCGGAACGUGCCCAGUAGCGGGGGAUAACUACGCGAAGGCGUAGCUAAUACCGCAUACGCCCUACGGGGGAAAGCAGGGGAUCGUAAGACCUUGCACUAUUGGAGCGGCCGAUAUCGGAUUAGCUAGUUGGUGAGGUAACGGCUCACCAAGGCGACGAUCCGUAGCUGGUUUGAGAGGACGACCAGCCACACUGGGACUGAGACACGGCCCAGACUCCUACGGGAGGCAGCAGUGGGGAAUUUUGGACAAUGGGGGCAACCCUGAUCCAGCCAUCCCGCGUGUGCGAUGAAGGCCUUCGGGUUGUAAAGCACUUUUGGCAGGAAAGAAACGUCGCGGGCUAAUACCCCGUGGAACUGACGGUACCUGCAGAAUAAGCACCGGCUAACUACGUG
RNAcentral lists this ribosomal RNA (484 nucleotides) under uncultured bacterium. Its description in RNAcentral is "partial 16S ribosomal RNA". It matches the Rfam family "Bacterial small subunit ribosomal RNA", at positions 30 to 507 of the family's 1533-position model. The record is from RNAcentral.